GUUAGGAAAGGUUAGAAUUAAGGAUCCCGGUCCAAUGCACAGGCCAUCACAGCUCUCCACCAGGGCCUAAGGCCUACCUCUCAUUGAGGCCUUGGGGGUGAAGCGUGCCGAGUCUGGCGAUCCAAAUACGUUCGGCUCGCCGUCUUUGAGCCACACUCCAUUUUGGGUCCGCCUCCAGGACUGAGGCCCGGACAGCGUCCCAUCCGUGGAGGAGGAAGUGUCCCACCACUAAGGUCUGGUGCUUGAAAAAUUGCCCGUGACCCCUGGGUGCAGAGGUCAACAAAGGCGAGAGUUUUGCUUUAACAAGGCUAUCGAUGUCCAGUGUGAACAACAUGGCGUCCUGGGGAAUGUGAAGUGUCCUGAUUGUUUC
Notolabrus celidotus (New Zealand spotty) is the source of this 370-nucleotide long non-coding RNA. RefSeq lists it as uncharacterized. NCBI's taxonomy places the organism in Eukaryota, Metazoa, Chordata, Actinopteri, Labriformes, Labridae. The transcript has 3 exons. The record is from RefSeq and is a predicted model, not a curated record.